This is a microRNA precursor of Brassica oleracea var. oleracea, 125 nucleotides long. It matches the Rfam family "MIR9563 microRNA precursor family". The record is from Rfam. Lineage: Eukaryota; Viridiplantae; Streptophyta; Magnoliopsida; Brassicales; Brassicaceae.
GGAAUAUAAGAACCCGUCUCUUAAUUUUUAACUAAAAAAGCUAAGAACCGGUUCUUAAAUAAGAGUUUUAAGAGCUGGUUUAUAACUUUUUUAGUUAAAAAUUAACAGACGAGUUCUUAUAUUCC